AGUCACAGUCGCAGCCCGGAUUUUUGGGUUUACUGUGGUAUUGAUGGAUGUGAACAGGACUUUAGAGUUUUUAACUCUUUCUUUCGCCACAUUAAACGGACGCACCUUCAGUAUUUGAGGACUGGAUGCCCACCAAGCGGAUGGAGUACGACGCCUUCUUCUCGGUCUUUGGGACAGGAAACAUUUGGUGUUUCGGUGUUUGCCAGCUGUAGCACUCCUGCAGCGGCCAGCACUACGGCUGUCCCACCUGAUGCCUCUUUACCUGAACCGUCACCACAGCCUGAAGCUGACGGCCGCCUUGAGUCCGAAGACGCUGUUGCUGUGACCUCCAGAACCAGACCUGAUAUAGCUAGAUCCGCAGCGGCAUUCGCCAUCAGUGUCCGGGAACAGUGCCAGUUAUCACAGAGAACUGUCAACAGUGUCAUCUCAGGGGUGCAACAGUACCAAGCUGCUCUCAUUGACACACUAAGGGAGAGAAUCAGAAGUGUGUUUGAAGAGAAUCCAGACACAACUGCUCAGCUCCAAGGGGAGGCUUUGGCUACGUUUGAUGCGUUCAUGGAUCCUUUCUCAACCACAGCAUAUGGACAGAAUAAAACCAUCCGGGAACUAUUUCAAUCCAGUCAACCCAGAGGAAGUUGUGGUGUCCCAGAAGAUUUGUUGGGUAAAGCGUGGUCUUUCAAGGGUCAUGGCCUUAAGAGGCAAAAGUUUUUACUAUGUACCACUCAUUCAAAGUCUUAAGCAGUUACUGACCAAUCCCAGAAUCUUCACCAUGUUAACCACUGUACCACAAAGAAGUGAGGGAUUCUUGUAUGAUUUUACUGAUGGAGCCCUUUUUACAUCCCAUCCAUUAUAUUCUCAAAGGCCAAAUGCAUUGCAAAUACUAUUGUACACCGAUGAAAUUGAAAUAUGUAACCCUUUAGGCGCCCAUGCCUCUGCAAAUAAAUUACUGAUGUUUUAUUAUAGUUUAGGGAAUAUAGAUCCAAAAUUUAGGUCGAAGUUGGCUGCAAUAAGACUCCUGGCUAUUGCCAAGGCAAACAAUAUUUCUCAGUGGGGUGUUGAUGUUAUACUAAAAAGAAUCCAAAAAGAUCUGACACUUCUGUACAAUGGUGUUAGGAUUGACACCCCAAAUGGUGAAAUUGAGUUGUUUGGUGCUGUGAUCGCCAUAUGUGGAGACACACUUGCCCAACAUGAUAUUGCUGGAUUUAAACAAGGUGUUGGUUUUGCUUAUAGCAAAUGUAGACAUUGUGAAUGCUCCUUUGAGGAUAUGCAAAGUAUUUUUGAGGAGAAUAGGUUUGCUGAAAGAACUUUGGAAAAGCACAUUAGGCAGUGUGUUGAAAUAGAUAAGGCAAGCACAGAAACAUUGAAAGCAUCCCUCAAAACCACUUAUGGGAUUAACAGAAGAAGCAGACUAGUUGAUGUUCCAGCAUUUGAUCUGAUCAAACAAACACCACAGGAUAUAAUGCAUGUAAUUUUUGAAGGUGUUGCACCAAUGGAAAUAAAGCUUGUAUUAAAAAACCUGAUUCUGUCAGGACAGAUAGAAUUAGAUGAGAUUAACUCAGCUAUUCUAAAUUUUCCUUACUCACCUCUAGACAUAAGAGAUAAGCCAUGUCCUAUUAGUGUCAGUACUUUAGCUGCUAAUGACAAUAAAUUAAAGCAGUCAUGUGGACAAAUGUUGAUACUUUUAAAAAUCCUACCUUUUCUUUUGAACGGUAUGGACAACGAGUAUGUCAAAUUUAUUCUCAAGUUAAUUGAGAUUGUUCAAAUUGUCCUUGCUCCUGUUAUUUCUUUAGAAACCGUAUUACGGCUCAGACGCAUGAUUGAGCAACAUCUGCAUCAUUUCAAAGAACUUUUCUCUGAAGCCAAUGUAAUACCCAAGCAACAUUACAUGUUACAUCUACCAAGCCAAAUCAUAUCUCUUGGUCCAUUAAUAAGAAGUAUGUGUAUGCGAUUUGAAGCUAAGCACAGUUAUUUUAAGCAGUGGGCUUCUAAGUUAAAUUUCAAAAAUGUCUGUAAAUCGCUUGCAAACCAUAACCAGUUCCUUGAAUGUUGUCAAAAUGAAAUAGGCAUUGAGCAUCCAAUUUUUGCUAGUGAAAGAGAAUCGGGGCCUGUCUCAGCUGUCAAAAAUUUUGAUUAUGUCAAGAGAAAAGUCAAAGAUUUUCUAGGCGUAGAGGUCAUGCAAUCUGUUGUCUCAGUGAAAUGGUACAUCCUCAAUGGCAAUAAGUACAUUAGUGGUAAAUCUAUGAUUAUUGUAGAUGUAGAUGAUGCUUUCCCAGUGUUCGGACUGAUAAAAGAUAUAUUUGUGAUUGAUUCCUCUUAUGUUGCUUUUGAGUACCAGCGUUAUGAGACACUGAAUUUGAGUCCAGAAUUGCUGGCAUAUGAGGUGGCAGUUCCCAAUGUUGCCCAGGCUACAGAAUUUGUACAUGAACUCAUUGACUGUAUUUCUUAUUUUUCUGUUAGUUUCAAGGAACAUAUGUUUGUGCCAAUAAAAUAUAGUCUUUGUGAUAUUAUUGCCCACAGAAGUAGACAUUAAAAUGGAGGAAUGAAAGGGAAGCAUUGAUUUAUUGGGUGAUCAAGUUUGCCGGUUUCCUGGACCUGUUUUUGUUAACAAACUGUUUUGGUCAUUAAACAAUUCCAUGGACUGUAUGGUGAGUUGUGGUGAAGGCUGUAUAAUUUAUCCUCACAUUGUCUGAACAUGCUUGAAGUCAGAGCAAUAAUAAACUCUGUUUCUUUCAGA
Gasterosteus aculeatus aculeatus (three-spined stickleback) is the source of this 2734-nucleotide long non-coding RNA. NCBI's taxonomy places the organism in Eukaryota, Metazoa, Chordata, Actinopteri, Perciformes, Gasterosteidae. The record is from Ensembl.